CUUAGCUCAGCCGGUUAGAGCAUCUGACUGUUAAUCAGAGGGUCGUAGGUUCAAGUCCUACAGGGGA
RNAcentral lists this transfer RNA (67 nucleotides) under Candidatus Parvibacillus calidus. Its description in RNAcentral is "tRNA-Asn". It matches the Rfam family "tRNA", at positions 6 to 65 of the family's 71-position model. Rfam says of the family: Transfer RNA (tRNA) molecules are approximately 80 nucleotides in length. Their secondary structure includes four short double-helical elements and three loops (D, anti-codon, and T loops). Lineage: Bacteria; Pseudomonadati; Bacteroidota; Saprospiria; Saprospirales; Saprospiraceae. The record is from RNAcentral.